AUUGAACGCUGGCGGCAGGCCUAACACAUGCAAGUCGAGCGGAUGAAGGGAGCUUUCUCCUGGAUUCAGCGGCGGACGGGUGAGUAAUGCCUAGGAAUCUGCCUGGUAGUGGGGGAUAACGUCCGGAAACGGGCGCUAAUACCGCAUACGUCCUGAUGGAGAACGUGGGGGAUCUUCGGACCUCACGCUAUCAUAUGAGCCUAGGUCGGAUUAGCUAGUUGGUGGGGUAAAGGCCUACCAAGGCGACGAUCCGUAACUGGUCUGAGAGGAUGAUCAGUCACACUGGAACUGAGACACGGUCCAGACUCCUACGGGAGGCAGCAGUGGGGAAUAUUGGACAAUGGGCGAAAGCCUGAUCCAGCCAUGCCGCGUGUGUGAAGAAGGUCUUCGGAUUGUAAAGCACUUUAAGUUGGGAGGAAGGGCAGUAAGUUAAUACCUUGCUGUUUUGACGUUAACAACAGAAUAAGCACCGGCUAACUUCGUG
Molecule: ribosomal RNA, 484 nt
Filed under: uncultured bacterium
Lineage: Bacteria
Description: partial 16S ribosomal RNA
Rfam family: Bacterial small subunit ribosomal RNA
Source: RNAcentral